This 489-nucleotide ribosomal RNA is filed under the name Granulicatella adiacens. Its description in RNAcentral is "bacterial SSU rRNA". It matches the Rfam family "Bacterial small subunit ribosomal RNA", at positions 28 to 497 of the family's 1533-position model. Lineage: Bacteria; Bacillati; Bacillota; Bacilli; Lactobacillales; Carnobacteriaceae. The record is from RNAcentral.
GACGAACGCUGGCGGCGUGCCUAAUACAUGCAAGUCGAACGAGAGCGACCGGUGCUUGCACUGGUCAAUCUAGUGGCGAACGGGUGAGUAACACGUGGGUAACCUGCCCAUCAGAGGGGGAUAACUUUCGGAAACGGAUGCUAAAACCGCAUAGGUCUUCGAACCGCAUGGUUUUGAAGAGGAAAAGAGGCGCAAGCUUCUGCUGAUGGAUGGACCCGCGGUGCAUUAGCUAGUUGGUGAGGUAACGGCUCACCAAGGCCGUGAUGCAUAGCCGACCUGAGAGGGUGAUCGGCCACAUUGGGACUGAGACACGGCCCAAACUCCUACGGGAGGCAGCAGUAGGGAAUCUUCCGCAAUGGACGCAAGUCUGACGGAGCAACGCCGCGUGAGUGAAGAAGGUUUUCGGAUCGUAAAACUCUGUUGUUAGAGAAGAACAAGUGCUAGAGUAACUGUUAGCGCCUUGACGGUAUCUAACCAGAAAGCCACGGC